RNAcentral lists this ribosomal RNA (253 nucleotides) under uncultured bacterium. RNAcentral's name for it is "partial 16S ribosomal RNA". It matches the Rfam family "Bacterial small subunit ribosomal RNA", at positions 524 to 776 of the family's 1533-position model. The record is from RNAcentral.
GGCGGAGGAUGCAAGUGUUAUCCGGAAUCACUGGGCGUAAAGCGUCUGUAGGUGGUUUAAUAAGUCAACUGUUAAAUCUUGAGGCUCAACCUCAAAAUCGCAGUCGAAACUAUUAGGCUAGAGUAUAGUAGGGGUAAAGGGAAUUUCCAGUGGAGCGGUGAAAUGCGUAGAGAUUGGAAAGAACACCGAUGGCGAAGGCACUUUACUGGGCUAUUACUAACACUCAGAGACGAAAGCUAGGGUAGCAAAUGGG